RNAcentral lists this transfer RNA (65 nucleotides) under Dipodomys ordii (Ord's kangaroo rat). It matches the Rfam family "tRNA". From Rfam's summary of the family: Transfer RNA (tRNA) molecules are approximately 80 nucleotides in length. Their secondary structure includes four short double-helical elements and three loops (D, anti-codon, and T loops). Further hydrogen bonds mediate the characteristic L-shaped molecular structure. tRNAs have two regions of fundamental functional importance: the anti-codon, which is responsible for specific mRNA codon recognition, and the 3' end, to which the tRNAs corresponding amino acid is attached (by aminoacyl-tRNA synthetases). tRNAs cope with the degeneracy of the genetic code in two manners: having more than one tRNA (with a specific anti-codon) for a particular amino acid; and 'wobble' base-pairing, i.e. permitting non-standard base-pairing at the 3rd anti-codon position. The record is from Rfam by way of RNAcentral. Lineage: Eukaryota; Metazoa; Chordata; Mammalia; Rodentia; Heteromyidae.
GGUGGCUCAGUGGUGGAGCAUUUGCCUUGCAUGCAUGAGGCCCUGGGUUCGAUUCCUUAGCACCA